RNAcentral lists this ribosomal RNA (546 nucleotides) under Lophiotoma acuta. RNAcentral's name for it is "partial 16S ribosomal RNA". It matches the Rfam family "Bacterial large subunit ribosomal RNA", at positions 1802 to 2619 of the family's 2925-position model. The record is from RNAcentral. Lineage: Eukaryota; Metazoa; Mollusca; Gastropoda; Neogastropoda; Turridae.
GUUUACCAAAAACAUGGCUUCUUGUACAAAUAAUAAAUAAGGAGUCGGACCUGCCCAGUGAAAUUUUUUAACGGCCGCGGUACUCUGACCGUGCAAAGGUAGCAUAAUCAUUUGCCUUAUAAUUAAAGGCUAGUAUGAAUGGUUUGACAAGAAUGCAGCUGUCUCUUUAUAAUUUUAUAGAAUUUUAUUUUAAAGUGAAGAAGCUUUAAUAUAAUUAAUAGACAAGAAGACCCUAUCGAGCUUUAAAGAAAUCUCUAGAAAUUAAUUAAUAAUUUUUAAAAAAUUAACUAUUGAAUAUUUUGGUUGGGGCGACUAAGGAACAAAUAAAGCUUCCUUUUAUAUAAUUUACAUUCAAGUAUUGAUCCAAAGUUUUUGAUUAAAGAAAUUAGUUACCGUAGGGAUAACAGCAUUAUCUUUUUUGAGAGUUCUUAUCGAAAAAAAGGUUUGUGACCUCGAUGUUGGACCAGAAUAUCCUAAAGAUGCAGAAGUCUUUAAGGGUUGGUCUGUUCGACCAUUAAAAUUCUACGUGAUCUGAGUUCAGACCGG